This 253-nucleotide ribosomal RNA is filed under the name uncultured bacterium. RNAcentral's name for it is "partial 16S ribosomal RNA". It matches the Rfam family "Bacterial small subunit ribosomal RNA", at positions 524 to 776 of the family's 1533-position model. The record is from RNAcentral.
UACGUAGGGUGCAAGCGUUGUCCGGAAUUAUUGGGCGUAAAGAGCUCGUAGGCGGUUUGUCGCGUCGAAUGUGAAAACCCGGGGCUCAACCCCGGGCCUGCAUUCGAUACGGGCAGACUAGAGAUCGGUAGGGGAGUCUGGAAUUCCUGGUGUAGCGGUGAAAUGCGCAGAUAUCAGGAGGAACACCGGUGGCGAAGGCGGGACUCUGGGCCGAUACUGACGCUGAGGAGCGAAAGCGUGGGGAGCAAACAGG